GAUGAACGCUGGCGGCGUGCCUAAUACAUGCAAGUCGAGCGAACAGACGAGGAGCUUGCUCCUCUGACGUUAGCGGCGGACGGGUGAGUAACACGUGGAUAACCUACCUAUAAGACUGGGAUAACUUCGGGAAACCGGAGCUAAUACCGGAUAAUAUAUUGAACCGCAUGGUUCAAUAGUGAAAGACGGUUUUGCUGUCACUUACAGAUGGAUCCGCGCCGCAUUAGCUAGUUGGUAAGGUAACGGCUUACCAAGGCGACGAUGCGUAGCCGACCUGAGAGGGUGAUCGGCCACACUGGAACUGAGACACGGUCCAGACUCCUACGGGAGGCAGCAGUAGGGAAUCUUCCGCAAUGGGCGAAAGCUUGACGGAGCAACGCCGCGUGAGUGAUGAAGGUCUUCGGAUCGUAAAACUCUGUUAUUAGGGAAGAACAAAUGUGUAAGUAACUAUGCACGUCUUGACGGUACCUAAUCAGAAAGCCACGGCUAACUACGUG
This 497-nucleotide ribosomal RNA is filed under the name uncultured bacterium. Its description in RNAcentral is "partial 16S ribosomal RNA". It matches the Rfam family "Bacterial small subunit ribosomal RNA", at positions 28 to 507 of the family's 1533-position model. The record is from RNAcentral.